RNAcentral lists this ribosomal RNA (535 nucleotides) under Escherichia coli. RNAcentral's name for it is "bacterial SSU rRNA". It matches the Rfam family "Bacterial small subunit ribosomal RNA", at positions 108 to 639 of the family's 1533-position model. The record is from RNAcentral. Lineage: Bacteria; Pseudomonadati; Pseudomonadota; Gammaproteobacteria; Enterobacterales; Enterobacteriaceae.
GAGUAAUGUCUGGGAAACUGCCUGAUGGAGGGGGAUAACUACUGGAAACGGUAGCUAAUACCGCAUAACGUCGCAAGACCAAAGAGGGGGACCUUCGGGCCUCUUGCCAUCGGAUGUGCCCAGAUGGGAUUAGCUAGUAGGUGGGGUAAUGGCUCACCUAGGCGACGAUCCCUAGCUGGUCUGAGAGGAUGACCAGCCACACUGGAACUGAGACACGGUCCAGACUCCUACGGGAGGCAGCAGUGGGGAAUAUUGCACAAUGGGCGCAAGCCUGAUGCAGCCAUGCCGCGUGUAUGAAGAAGGCCUUCGGGUUGUAAAGUACUUUCAGCGGGGAGGAAGGGAGUAAAGUUAAUACCUUUGCUCAUUGACGUUACCCGCAGAAGAAGCACCGGCUAACUCCGUGCCAGCAGCCGCGGUAAUACGGAGGGUGCAAGCGUUAAUCGGAAUUACUGGGCGUAAAGCGCACGCAGGCGGUUUGUUAAGUCAGAUGUGAAAUCCCCGGGCUCAACCUGGGAACUGCAUCUGAUACUGGCAA